This 441-nucleotide ribosomal RNA is filed under the name uncultured bacterium. RNAcentral's name for it is "partial 16S ribosomal RNA". It matches the Rfam family "Bacterial small subunit ribosomal RNA", at positions 338 to 795 of the family's 1533-position model. The record is from RNAcentral.
CCUACGGGAGGCUGCAGUGGGGGAUAUUGCACAAUGGGGGGAACCCUGAUGCAGCGACGCCGCGUGGGUGAAGGAGUGCUUCGGCAUGUAAAGCUCUAUCGGCAGGGAAGAAGCAAGACGGUACCUGACUAAGAAGCCCCGGCUAACUACGUGCCAGCAGCCGCGGUAAUACGUAGGGGGCGAGCGUUAUCCGGAUUCACUGGGUGUAAAGGGUGCGUAGACGGCCAAGCAAGCCUGGGGUGAAAGCCAGAGGCCCAACCCCGGGACUGCCCUUGAAACUGCAAGGCUUGAGUGCGGGAGGGGCAGGGGGAAUUCCUGGUGUAGCGGUGAAAUGCGUAGAUAUCAGGAGGAACACCGGCGGCGAAGGCGGCCUGCUGGACUGAAACUGACGUUGAGGAUCGAAAGCGUGGGGAGCAAACAGGAUUAGAUACCCCUGUAGUC